Molecule: long non-coding RNA, 555 nt
Filed under: Anas platyrhynchos platyrhynchos (common mallard)
Lineage: Eukaryota; Metazoa; Chordata; Aves; Anseriformes; Anatidae
Description: lncRNA (ENSAPLG00000030681.1)
Source: RNAcentral
GUCAUUUUUAGGAGUUUCUAUCUUGCUCUUUGUUGUAGAGAUGGCUGUUUUUUCGCUUAUUUUCCCAUGUUUCUAUCUCUGUUUCAGCUCUUGAGAUAGUCAGUAACUAAAAACAUGCCUUGCAAACCACUCUUAAAGCAAAAGAUGCCCCCAGAAUAUUUUGAACCUAUGAUACUGCAACAAUGAAUGCGGUCAUGUUUGGGAGCUCCUCGGCUACUGCGGUGUUGCAAGCUAUAUGAGUUUCAAGCAUGUAAAUCGGAGGGGAGCAGAAGAACCACUUUGUUCCCCAGCCCUGCCCCCGGGUAUAUAAAUAGCCGCCUGGGUGGCUGCUGGAGUGCCUCUCAUUCCAGAGAUCUUUGGCCACCCUCUUAUCAAAACAGAAAGACUGACUUCACUCCCGUUCUCUGCCGACUGAUUUCAUGCUGGAAACAGGUAAGGAGGCCGUGGCCAUCGUCCUUGAAUUGGCCACCUACAUCCAGAGGUCAAGCAAAGAGAAACGCGCUGCCAACAUUCCUCCUUCACAAAAUAAGCCGGUGCUUGAGCAGUCCCGGCUGA